Molecule: long non-coding RNA, 1003 nt
Filed under: Oncorhynchus kisutch (coho salmon)
Lineage: Eukaryota; Metazoa; Chordata; Actinopteri; Salmoniformes; Salmonidae
Description: lncRNA (ENSOKIG00005004731.1)
Source: RNAcentral
GAAAACCAGCACUGUCACGGACCAGGAUGUCUUGCUCCCAGGCAGACUAAAUAACUUUUUUGCCCGCUUUGAGGACAAUACAGUGCCACUGACACUGCCCGCAACUAAAACAUGCGGACUCUCCUUCACUGCAGCCGACGUGAGGAAAACAUUUAAACGUGUCAACCCUCGCAAGGCUGCAGGCCCAGAUGGCAUCCCCGGCCGCGCCCUCAGAGCAUGGCCAGACCAGCUGGCUGGUGUGUUUACGGACAUAUUCAAUCAAUCCCUAUCCCAGUCUGUUUUCCCACAUGCUUCAAGAGGGCCACCAUUGUUCCUGUUCCCAAGAAAGCUAAGGUAACUGAGCUAAACGACUACCACCCCGUAGCACUCACUUCCGUCAUCAUGAAGUGCUUUGAGAGACUAGUCAAGGACCAUAUCACCUCCACCCUACCUGACACCCUAGACCCACUCCAAUUUGCUUACCGCCCAAAUAGGUCCACAGACGAUGCAAUCUCAACCACACUGCACACUGCCCUAACCCAUCUGGACAAGAGGAAUACCUAUGUGAGAAUGCUGUUCAUCGACUACAGCUCGGCAUUCAACACCAUACUGCCCUCCAAGUUCGUCAUCAAGCUCGAGACCCUGGGUCUCGACCCCGCCCUGUGCAACUGGGUACUGGACUUCCUGACGGGCCGCCCCCAGGUGGUGAGGGUAGGCAACAACAUCUCCACCCCGCUGAUCCUCAACACUGGGGCCCCACAAGGGUGCGUUCUGAGCCCUUUCCUGUACUCCCUGUUCACCCACGACUGCGUGGCCACGCACGCCUCCAACUCAAUCAUCAAGUUUGCGGACGACACAACAGUGGUAGGCUUGAUUACCAACAACGACGAGACGGCCUACAUCGAGGAGGUGAGGGCCCUCGGAGUGUGGUGUCAGGAAAAUAACCUCACACUCAACGUCAACAAAACUAAGGAGAUGAUUGUGGACUUCAGGAAACAGCAGAGGGAACACCCCCCUAUCCACA